UAGGGAAUCUUCCACAAUGGACGCAAGUCUGAUGGAGCAACGCCGCGUGAGUGAAGAAGGUUUUCGGAUCGUAAAGCUCUGUUGUUGGUGAAGAAGGAUAGAGGCAGUAACUGGUCUUUAUUUGACGGUAAUCAACCAGAAAGUCACGGCUAACUACGUGCCAGCAGCCGCGGUAAUACGUAGGUGGCAAGCGUUGUCCGGAUUUAUUGGGCGUAAAGCGAGCGCAGGCGGAAUGAUAAGUCUGAUGUGAAAGCCCACGGCUCAACCGUGGAACUGCAUCGGAAACUGUCAUUCUUGAGUGCAGAAGAGGAGAGUGGAAUUCCAUGUGUUGCGGUGGAAUGCGUAGAUAUAUGGAAGAACACCAGUGGCGAAGGCGGCUCUCUGGUCUGCAACUGACGCUGAGGCUCGAAAGCAUGGGUAGCGAACAGG
RNAcentral lists this ribosomal RNA (429 nucleotides) under bacterium. RNAcentral describes it as "partial 16S ribosomal RNA". It matches the Rfam family "Bacterial small subunit ribosomal RNA", at positions 355 to 776 of the family's 1533-position model. The record is from RNAcentral.